This 354-nucleotide ribosomal RNA is filed under the name Salmonella enterica subsp. enterica serovar Agona. RNAcentral's name for it is "partial 23S ribosomal RNA". It matches the Rfam family "Bacterial large subunit ribosomal RNA", at positions 870 to 1221 of the family's 2925-position model. The record is from RNAcentral. Lineage: Bacteria; Pseudomonadati; Pseudomonadota; Gammaproteobacteria; Enterobacterales; Enterobacteriaceae.
UUAGGUAGCGCCUCGUGAAUUCAUCUCCGGGGGUAGAGCACUGUUUCGGCUAGGGGGCCAUCCCGGCUUACCAACCCGAUGCAAACUGCGAAUACCGGAGAAUGUUAUCACGGGAGACACACGGCGGGUGCUAACGUCCGUCGUGAAGAGGGAAACAACCCAGACCGCCAGCUAAGGUCCCAAAGUCAUGGUUAAGUGGGAAACGAUGUGGGAAGGCCCAGACAGCCAGGAUGUUGGCUUAGAAGCAGCCAUCAUUUAAAGAAAGCGUAAUAGCUCACUGGUCGAGUCGGCCUGCGCGGAAGAUGUAACGGGGCUAAACCAUGCACCGAAGCUGCGGCAGCGACACUCAGGUGU